UGUGUCUGCCAUGUGGCCUUUUUUUUUUUAUCAAAUUAACAAAUACAUUAUAUGUUAUAUAUUAUAUUUUAUAACCCUUUCACGCACCCUUUUCUUUCCUGUUUCCGUUCCCUGUUCUCUCACAGCCCUGUUCUCCACAGCCGUUCCGUUCCGUUCUCACAGCCGUUCCGUUCCUUGUUCUCUCACAGCCGCACGCCGCACCCUUUCCCUGUUCUCUCACAACCACACCCUUAUCACAGCCACACGCCGCCUCUUCCAGUUCUUCCUCAAGACCUAUAUAUCUGCAACUCCUGGGUAACAAGGUUCAACAAGCUUUUUCAGACCUGGAGAGGGAGCGUGGUUAUCUUGUUACUGAUGAAGUGUUUGAGGCAUUGGUAAAAAUUGGAUUCUCGCUGGACUCUCCUGCUUUUUACACUGUCUAUGAGAGUUUUGAUCAAAAGAAGAAUGGAAGAUUCAUAUUAGAUGAUUUCAUAUCUCUUUGUAUAUUUUUGUAGUCAGCUCGUGCUUUGAGGUUUUGGACUUGGUCUGGGUGGCUCUGUGAUUUUUGAAUUAGGCUUGGCGGCUUUAACACUUUUGGAAUUUAGCCUUGGAAGCCUUGAGACUCUCUCAAGUGUUCUCUCCAUUUUCAACCCCAAGAACACCAAAUAAACUUGGAAGCUAAGUCUUGGUCUAGGAAGGGUUUUCCCUAAGGUAAAGUUUCAUUAAUCUAGACUUUUGUCAAGUUUUAAUCAUAGAGUUUCAAAUAGCUAAUUAUCUAUGUUGUUGGGGGAAGUUGUUUAGGGUUUUUGAAAGGUUUUGGAGGAGCCAAAGCUAAUAGGAAGGUCAAAACCUUAAGCAAGAACACCAAAGAGUAUUGGCUAAGCGUAACUGGAUUGAACGUUGGAGGGUGAAAACCUGCUGAGCGCUAAGGACUCCAAGUAAGUGCAAGGGCAAGGCAGAGCAGUGAGCGCUGGAGUCUUCCUUGCAAAUGUACAUGUGGACUGACCUUUUGGGAAGCCAUUUUAUUUUUGGAAAUGUUGUGUAAUUUUCCUAAGCAAGGCUCACUCUACUCUUUAUAAAAUAUGUUUGUAACUAAAUGUUAAGUAUGGCCAUACGACUUUUUAAAAAGUUUUUUUUAUA
RNA transcript from Humulus lupulus (European hop), 1119 nucleotides. RefSeq lists it as uncharacterized. The transcript is spliced from 9 exons. NCBI's taxonomy places the organism in Eukaryota, Viridiplantae, Streptophyta, Magnoliopsida, Rosales, Cannabaceae. The record is from RefSeq and is a predicted model, not a curated record.